UACAUGUGGGGCAAGCGUUGUUCGGAAUCACUGGGCGUAAAGGGUGCGUAGGCGGGUCUUUAAGUCAGGGGUGAAAUCCUGGAGCUCAACUCCAGAACUGCCUUUGAUACUGAAGAUCUUGAGUCCGGGAGAGGUGAGUGGAACUGCGAGUGUAGAGGUGAAAUUCGUAGAUAUUCGCAAGAACACCAGUGGCGAAGGCGGCUCACUGGCCCGGUACUGACGCUGAGGCACGAAAGCGUGGGGAGCAAACAGG
Molecule: ribosomal RNA, 253 nt
Filed under: uncultured bacterium
Lineage: Bacteria
Description: partial 16S ribosomal RNA
Rfam family: Bacterial small subunit ribosomal RNA
Source: RNAcentral